Molecule: long non-coding RNA, 1937 nt
Filed under: Equus asinus (donkey)
Lineage: Eukaryota; Metazoa; Chordata; Mammalia; Perissodactyla; Equidae
Description: lncRNA (ENSEASG00005024568.1)
Source: RNAcentral
AGGCUACAACAUGGAUGAACCGUGAAGACAUUAUUCUAAGUGAAAUAAGCCAGUCGCAAAAGGACGAAUAUUGUAUGAUUCCACUUACGUGAGAAUUAUCCUUGGGGGUCCCAGAGCCUGGAAGACACACAGGGCCCUUCCAUCAUCCUGACUGUCCAUCGCUGUGGCACAUCAUGCCCAAACCUCGGCUUCUUCUCUGCAGGCUCUCCCCUUUGCCCAGGGAGUAAGAGGAGGGGCGUUGAUGACAAUCCUCCUGAGAGAGAGGGCCUCUGGGAGCUCAAGGGCAGAGAGCACUCCAGCCUAGACUGCCCGCUUUAGGAAAUGCUUCAUUUUGGGUUUCCUUGGAGUCCCCCUGCCCCUCCCCCCACCACGACAGCCCCUUUAUCCUCCACUCUCUCUCAGGGCUCCUCCAGCCCUUCUGCAUGAGCCUGCUCCCUGUCCUCCCCUGGGGCAUCGUUGCAUUUCAGGUGGAGACCAGAGCUAGAGGCGGCUUGGGAGAGUUUAUCCGGGGUUUUCUGCUCUGGUUCCCACCCACCUGCAUAUGCACAGAUUCUGGCUGGAGCGGAAGCCUCUCCUCCCUGAGAACUGCUGCAUCUCCCUUUCCACCACCAGAGGCGCAUAGCAGAAGCUAAGCCUGAAGCCCAGUGAGAUGGCGCUCCCCAGCGGCGGCCGACUGACCGAAUUGGGGACGGAUACGUGGUUCUUGCAGCAGGCCAGAUUCUCGAGAAUUUAGCCUGAAAGAUUCAAAGUCAGACUGCAGUAGUCCAUGAACUGGAAGCCUCUGUACCUUUGGGGGAUCAAGUGUAUAGGGCAGCAGAGAAUUUACACAGAAGUGUUUGUGAGUGCGUGUCAGAGAGAGAGUCAGACGGACAGCCUCUCUCAGCUCUUGAAGGGUUUCCCAUCUAGAGUUCCAGGAGUCCACACAGAAUGUCCUCUCCUGAGGUGAGAACGUACUCCUGUGCCUCAGCGGCCUUCUCCACCUGGUUGCAGCAAGCACGCUACGGGGCACAUGGUGCUCAGAAAGCAGAGCAGCGAUUAAAAGCUCUUUAGCAAGAAGUCAGACAGAACUCGGUUUGAAUCUUGUCUCUGUCACUUUCUAGCUGUGUGACCUUAGACUAAUUGCUCCAUCUCUCUGAGCUUCAGUUUCCUCACCUAAAGGGGAUGAUCAAGUUUACUUCAUAAAAUUGCUCAGAGGAUUACACAAAACAAUGAAUGUGAAAUAGGGUGGUGCUUGGCAUAUAGGUGAUGACCAGUAAAUGAUAAUUUAUGUAUUAUAAUUCAUACCUUCCUUUAAAAUCAUCGUUUUAUCAGUAUGAAAUUUGCAUGACUCUAAAUUACCAACCCAAAUUUCUUUUGCUGGUGUUUACAUGAUGUAUCUUUUUCCAUCCUUUUAUUUUCAAUCUUCUGUGUCCCAGUAUUUAAAGCAUGUCUCUUAUAAACAGCAUAGUGUUAUUUUUGAAUCUGGUUUAACCAUCUUUGUCUUUUCAUUGGAGCAUUUAGUCCAUUUACAUUUAAUGUAAUUACUAACAUAGCUGUCUUCUAGUCUACCAUCUUGCUACUGGGCACGACCUUUACUCCCAGAAUGUGCCCCUUCUGGGGUCUCAACCAAAAGCCUAAGAUGUUUGCCAAAGCCCCUGUGUCUCCUCCCCAUUACGCAGCAGCUGAAAUCUGUUCAGCUCUUCAUCUUCUCAGCUGCUGUUUCCUGCUGGGUUUCCCAGAGUUCUCACUGCAUGCUUGGUUUAGGAGUCAGCCAGCAACUUGAGGGGAACCUGUAUGCAGAUUUCUCAUUCAGUCCUCUCCAUCAUUCUUCCUUCAAGUUCCAGCUACUCUGGCCGCCUUAAACUCUGAUCUCAGCGCAAUAAGACUGCUGCUGCUUUCUGCUAUCACCCAUUCCUCCCUGCCCUGCGCUCCCCAAAUGCCCACCGGCCCCCCCCCCC